AAAUAAGUUAAGUUCUUGCGUUUGGAUCGGCGGCUGCUUCCUGUUAGGGUUUGCGACUGGAACCCUAAUCAACAAUUUCAUGUGGAGAAUCUAUCGUUAGGCUAGAAGCAUGUUCUGCCUUUAGCUCUAAGAAUCCUCUUUUUAAAGAAUAGGAUUUCUUGGUGACAAGGUAGAUAUAUCUGUUUUGGUUGAUCUGUAUGGAUUAAUGUUGAUGUUCUGAUUCAAAAAGGAAGUUUUUUUGUUUGAUUUCUUGAGAAAGUUGGUAGCUUUUUGUGGAUUGGUAUGAUGUUGGAUGAUGAAAAAAAUCAGACGGAUUCCCAAUGAUUUAUUCUUUAAAUAUGAUAACACAACCAGCUACUUCUGACACAUCAUGCCAGAAACUCAUCUAAAGUUUCAGAUUUUUUUUCUUUUUUUUUUGGGUUGCAUUUUUGGAUUUUUUUUAUGAUUAUUUUUGGUUUUGGGGUUUUCUAUUGUAUGAGCCAAUGAUGUGAGAAAAAUAUUUGCUACUCUUGAUGGAGUAUCCAUUUGAUGAAUUUGAACCACCAAGAUCUCUGAGGCUUUUUAUUCCAAUCCUAUCCUUUCUUAAAUCUUUGUCAGUUUAUUUUAUUUAUUUUUUUUAAAUCUUAAUUAUGUUUUGGUUCUUGUGGUUUCAAUCAUAUUCUGAAGAUGUAGAUUUGUCAGUGUGAGAUGUGAAAUGAGUGGAACUCUUCUUUGCAAGGAUUUCAGAUAUAUCCAAAGCAUGUCACAGGUUUCCAUUCAAUCCAUCUCUAGCAUUUUUUUUUUUUUUAGUUUUUUUUGUUUUGGAUCUUAUUUUUGAACAUAUGGAUUUGUGUGAUUAUGAGGCUGUGAAAUGAAUGGAAAAUGUUGUGGCUUUUUCUUGCAAGAA
Dioscorea cayenensis subsp. rotundata (Guinea yam) is the source of this 886-nucleotide long non-coding RNA. RefSeq lists it as uncharacterized. The transcript is spliced from 2 exons. Lineage: Eukaryota; Viridiplantae; Streptophyta; Magnoliopsida; Dioscoreales; Dioscoreaceae. The record is from RefSeq and is a predicted model, not a curated record.